UGCGGAAGUGGCGGAACUGGCAGACGCGCUACCUUGAGGUGGUAGUGAAGGAAACUUCUUGGGGGUUCGAGUCCCCCCUUUCGCAU
Molecule: transfer RNA, 86 nt
Filed under: Chlamydiota bacterium
Lineage: Bacteria; Pseudomonadati; Chlamydiota
Description: Chlamydiae bacterium tRNA-Leu
Rfam family: tRNA
About the family: Transfer RNA (tRNA) molecules are approximately 80 nucleotides in length. Their secondary structure includes four short double-helical elements and three loops (D, anti-codon, and T loops).
Source: RNAcentral